GGAGAGGUGCCAGAGUGGACGAUUGGGGCGGUCUCGAAAACCGUUGUGGCAUCCUGUGCCACCGUGGGUUCGAAUCCCACCCUCUCCG
Molecule: transfer RNA, 88 nt
Filed under: Anaerolineae bacterium
Lineage: Bacteria; Bacillati; Chloroflexota; Anaerolineae
Also listed under: 2 other names
Description: tRNA-Ser
Rfam family: tRNA
About the family: Transfer RNA (tRNA) molecules are approximately 80 nucleotides in length. Their secondary structure includes four short double-helical elements and three loops (D, anti-codon, and T loops). Further hydrogen bonds mediate the characteristic L-shaped molecular structure. tRNAs have two regions of fundamental functional importance: the anti-codon, which is responsible for specific mRNA codon recognition, and the 3' end, to which the tRNAs corresponding amino acid is attached (by aminoacyl-tRNA synthetases). tRNAs cope with the degeneracy of the genetic code in two manners: having more than one tRNA (with a specific anti-codon) for a particular amino acid; and 'wobble' base-pairing, i.e. permitting non-standard base-pairing at the 3rd anti-codon position.
Source: RNAcentral